AAGCAAGCGGUCUUUGGUCGACCGGAAUAUAAGCAAGACUGCCAUGCUAGCUGACUUCCUACUCAAUGCUCUGCCACCACGUUGGCCUUCCCCGGGUGAUAUAAAAUGGUAACAUCAUAAUCCUUCAACAACUCGAACUACCUUCUCUGCCUCAAAUUCAAUUCCUUUUGCUUGAACAAGUACUGAAGGCUCUUGUGAUCAG
This 202-nucleotide long non-coding RNA is filed under the name Nicotiana benthamiana. RNAcentral describes it as "long non-coding RNA (NBEN_LNC026137)". Lineage: Eukaryota; Viridiplantae; Streptophyta; Magnoliopsida; Solanales; Solanaceae. The record is from RNAcentral.